Molecule: ribosomal RNA, 544 nt
Filed under: uncultured bacterium
Lineage: Bacteria
Description: bacterial SSU rRNA
Rfam family: Bacterial small subunit ribosomal RNA
Source: RNAcentral
AAUAGAUACCCCGGUAGUCCACGCCGUAAACGAUGUCGACUUGGAGGUUGUUCCCUUGAGGAGUGGCUUCCGGAGCUAACGCGUUAAGUCGACCGCCUGGGGAGUACGGCCGCAAGGUUAAAAACUCAAAUGAAUUGACGGGGGGCCCGCACAAGCGGUGGAGCAUGUGGUUUAAUUCGAUGCAACGCGAAGAACCUUACCUACUCUUGACAUCCACGGAACUUUUCAGAGAUGAAUUGGUGCCUUCGGGAACCGUGAGACAGGUGCUGCAUGGCUGUCGUCAGCUCGUGUUGUGAAAUGUUGGGUUAAGUCCCGCAACGAGCGCAACCCUUAUCCUUUGUUGCCAGCGGUUAGGCCGGGAACUCAAAGGAGACUGCCAGUGAUAAACUGGAGGAAGGUGGGGAUGACGUCAAGUCAUCAUGGCCCUUACGAGUAGGGCUACACACGUGCUACAAUGGCGCAUACAAAGAGAAGCGACCUCGCGAGAGCAAGCGGACCUCAUAAAGUGCGUCGUAGUCCGGAUUGGAGUCUGCAACUCGACUCC